RNAcentral lists this transfer RNA (87 nucleotides) under Vibrio aestuarianus. RNAcentral's name for it is "tRNA-Leu". It matches the Rfam family "tRNA". Rfam says of the family: Transfer RNA (tRNA) molecules are approximately 80 nucleotides in length. Their secondary structure includes four short double-helical elements and three loops (D, anti-codon, and T loops). Lineage: Bacteria; Pseudomonadati; Pseudomonadota; Gammaproteobacteria; Vibrionales; Vibrionaceae. The record is from RNAcentral.
GCCCUGGUGGUGAAAUUGGUAGACACAAGGGAUUUAAAAUCCCUCGACUUUAGAGUCGUGCCGGUUCAAGUCCGGCCCGGGGCACCA